Molecule: ribosomal RNA, 545 nt
Filed under: Hypseleotris cf. tohizonae MV-2022
Lineage: Eukaryota; Metazoa; Chordata; Actinopteri; Gobiiformes; Eleotridae
Description: partial large subunit ribosomal RNA
Rfam family: Bacterial large subunit ribosomal RNA
Source: RNAcentral
UAUAUGUUUAACGGCCGCGGUAUUUUGACCGUGCGAAGGUAGCGCAAUCACUUGUCUUUUAAAUGAAGACCUGUAUGAAUGGCAUAACGAGGGCUAAGCUGUCUCCUUUUUCCAGUCAAUGAAAUUGAUCUGCCCGUGCAGAAGCGGGCAUAAGAACAUAAGACGAGAAGACCCUAUGGAGCUUCAGACACCAGGAUAGACUGUGUUAAAGACCCUUAAUUAAAAGACUAAACCAAACAGCCCCUGUCCCCUUGUCUUUGGUUGGGGCGACCGCGGGGUAACAAACAACCCCCAUGUGGAACAAGGGAAUCCCCUUUAAGACCAGGGCCACAGCCCUAAUAAGCAGAACAUCUGACCAUCAAGAUCCGGUUUUACCGAUCAACGGACCUAGUUACCCUAGGGAUAACAGCGCAAUCCUCUUUUAGAGCCCAUAUCGACAAGAGGGUUUACGACCUCGAUGUUGGAUCAGGACAUCCUAAUGGUGCAGCCGCUAUUAAGGGUUCGUUUGUUCAACGAUUAAAGUCCUACGUGAUCUGAGUUCAGAC